This 423-nucleotide ribosomal RNA is filed under the name uncultured bacterium. RNAcentral describes it as "bacterial SSU rRNA". It matches the Rfam family "Bacterial small subunit ribosomal RNA", at positions 207 to 622 of the family's 1533-position model. The record is from RNAcentral.
AAGACCUUGCGCUUUUGGAGCGGCCGAUGCCGGAUUAGCUUGUUGGUAAGGUAAAAGCUUACCAAGGCUUCGAUCAGUAGCUGGUCUGAGAGGACGGCCAGCCACACUGGGACUGAGACACGGCCCAGACUCCUACGGGAGGCAGCAGUGGGGAAUUUUGGACAAUGGGGGCAACCCUGAUCCAGCCAUGCCGCGUGAGUGAAGAAGGCCUUCGGGUUGUAAAGCUCUUUCAGCCGGAACGAAACGGUUACGGUUAAUACCCGUGAUUACUGACGGUACCGGAAGAAGAAGCACCGGCUAACUACGUGCCAGCAGCCGCGGUAAUACGUAGGGUGCGAGCGUUAAUCGGAAUUACUGGGCGUAAAGCGUGCGCAGGUGGUUUUGUAAGUCAGAUGUGAAAGCCCCGGGCUCGACCUGGGAACU